CCCCUAGAUGUUCUGGGCCGCACGCGCGCUACACUGAACAGUGCAACAAGCAUCCGUCCUUGGCCGACAGGCCCGGGCAAUCUUUGAACGCUGGUCGUGAUGGGGAUAGACUUUUGCAAUUUUUGGUCUUCAACGAGGAAUUCCUAGUAAACGCAAGUCAUCAACUUGCAUUGAUUACGUCCCUGCCCUUUGUACACACCGCCCGUCGCACCUACCGAUUGAAUGGUCCGGUGAAGCCUCCGGAUUGGCGCGCACCUCGGUGCCGCCGAGAAGUUGGCUAAACCUUACCAUUUAGAGGAAGGUGAAGUCGUAACA
Molecule: ribosomal RNA, 315 nt
Filed under: uncultured eukaryote
Lineage: Eukaryota
Description: partial 18S ribosomal RNA
Rfam family: Eukaryotic small subunit ribosomal RNA
Source: RNAcentral